UGUAAGAUGGCUGAGUGCUGGAAGCGAAAGAUUGUAGCUCUUUUAACGGAGUAAUUCUCCUCUUAUAA
Molecule: transfer RNA, 68 nt
Filed under: Stomatella planulata
Lineage: Eukaryota; Metazoa; Mollusca; Gastropoda; Trochida; Trochidae
Description: tRNA-Tyr
Rfam family: tRNA
About the family: Transfer RNA (tRNA) molecules are approximately 80 nucleotides in length.
Source: RNAcentral